Molecule: ribosomal RNA, 465 nt
Filed under: uncultured bacterium
Lineage: Bacteria
Description: partial 16S ribosomal RNA
Rfam family: Bacterial small subunit ribosomal RNA
Source: RNAcentral
CCUACGGGUGGCAGCAGUGGGGAAUAUUGCGCAAUGGGCGAAAGCCUGACGCAGCGACGCCGCGUGAGGGAUGAAGGUCUUCGGAUUGUAAACCUCUGUCAGCAGGGAAGAACGGUCACUGUGCUAAUCAGCAGUGCAUUGACGGUACCUGCAAAGGAAGCACCGGCUAACUCCGUGCCAGCAGCCGCGGUAAUACGGGGGGUGCGUGCGUUAAUCGGAUUUACUGGGCGUGAAGCGCUCGUAGGCGGUAUGUCAAGUCAAGGGUGAAAGCCCCGCGCUCAACGUGGGAACUGCCUUUGAUACUGGCAAACUGGAGUGUGGGAGAGGAUAGUGGAAUUCCAGGUGUAGGAGUGAAAUCCGUAGAUAUCAGGAGGAACACCAGUGGCGAAGGCGACUUUCUGGCACAUAACUGACGCUGAGGAGCGAAAGCGUGGGUAGCAAACAGGAUUAGAUACCCCUGUAGUC